This 201-nucleotide unclassified non-coding RNA is filed under the name plant metagenome. RNAcentral describes it as "partial contains small subunit ribosomal RNA and internal transcribed spacer 1". The stretch from base 1 to 47 matches the Rfam family "Eukaryotic small subunit ribosomal RNA", at positions 1785 to 1831 of the family's 1831-position model. The record is from RNAcentral.
AAUGUCGUAACAAGGUUUCCGUAAGUGAACCUGCGGAAGGAUCAUUAUCGUGGGGCUUCGGCCCUAUCGAGAUAGAACCCUUGCCUUUUUAGUACCUUCUGUUGCCUCGGCGUCUGCUUCACGGCGGCGCCAACGGGGACCAAAUAAUAAACUCUUUUUCAUCAUGAAAUUAGUCUGAAAAAAAAGGUAAAAUGUUAAAAG